UCAGGAUAGCCGGGGGGUUAAGGGUCCCUUGGAAGCCGCAAUCCCUUUAAGCGGGGCGACGAGUUGAAGGGAAGGCUGCGUGUCAACAGUUUUUCAACUUCUCGUUUAACCGUAGACGUUUUGCCUUGCGUUACGAGCGUGGUUAUGAACCGAGCCAGGUCGGAAGAAGCAACUCUAAGUAAUCACUCCCGUGCUCGCAAGUCUACAAAGCCGAGGUGACACGGGUUGUUGAACCUGUUGAUCACAGUCAACUUCAACCUCCUGA
RNAcentral lists this signal recognition particle RNA (265 nucleotides) under Microcaldota archaeon. Its description in RNAcentral is "Candidatus Micrarchaeota archaeon (hot springs metagenome) signal recognition particle sRNA large type". It matches the Rfam family "Bacterial large signal recognition particle RNA". From Rfam's summary of the family: The signal recognition particle (SRP) is a universally conserved ribonucleoprotein involved in the co-translational targeting of proteins to membranes. Archaeal SRP consists of a 7S RNA and homologues of the eukaryotic SRP19 and SRP54 proteins. Lineage: Archaea; Nanobdellati; Microcaldota. The record is from RNAcentral.